GAGGAACAGCAGCAACAACAGCAGCAGCAGCAGCAGCAGGUCCUGAGGUGUGGGUGGGAGGGUGAGGGAGUGCCGCCCCCGCCUGCUAAUUGGCUGCCGGCGAUCCUGUUAGCGUGAGUGUGUGCGUGAGUGUGUGUCGGCGGGGCUCAUGGGGCGGGGGCGGGCCCCCCCGCACAGGCCCGCCCCUCACCUUUAAGGCCACGCGGCCAGACGUGUUGCCGCGCCCAUGCCCGUCGACCCCGCCCACCACCGCCUGCUGCACGGGCGGGGGGCGCGGCCCCUGCCCCGCUACACGCCGCUGCCCUCCACCGAGGACCGGCCGCCCUCGCUGCCCCUGUACAGCGAGGUGCGCCUCGGCAUGGGGGGCCGCCCUGCCGUCCACGUGAGGGCGCCCGUGCCCCGCCCCUGCCACCGCCUGCGUGGCCCCGCCGCCCACACUGGCCCUGGCCAUGGCACGCGCUACACCAAGCUGACGCCCGUGCGGGAGGAGCCGCCCUCCCUGGCGGGCGGCGGGCCGGGCCUGCUGCGGGCCGUGGCCUCGCGAGGACGCGGCUACGAGGACCUGCGGUGUCGCGGGGCGGGAGGCGACGCCCCAGAUAGCGGGGGCAGCUCGCCGCUGUCCUCCCCCAGGGUGUCCCCCAGGGGCUCCCCCGCCCCGCCCAGGCGCAAGACGUCAGGGAUCCUCAUCACCUCCGCCCUGGCCCGCUCCGGCCUCAGACGCCUCACCAGGGUCUCCUUCGGGUCCAGCAAGGGAUCUAUGGUGGAGACCCUUAUCUACGACUCCCCCGUGGGCGAGGAAGAAAGGAUACCGGAAGAGGAGGACACACAGGUCACCAGCCCCUCUGCCUUCAAGGACCCUGUCUCGCAGAAAUUUGGGACCGAGACAGGCGCCCAGCAGAAGCCAGCGUCCAAAGUCCGUGUGACCUUUUAUGAGAGCUCCCGGCCCCUCGUGGUGACCUCCCCGGAGCCAUCUGACCUUGACCUCUACUCGCCUGACCUCCUGAUGGCUUCCCCACCCGCUGACCCCGCCAUGCCUGGGUUCGACAGACAGCUCAGCACCGAGAGUGGGCGGGAUAACCCAUUUCGACCAGGCGGGGACAUCAGCAAAGAAGCGGAUCAGAUUGUGGAGGCUAUCAAAUCUGGCCGUCCUCUUCUAACCCCUGAUACUACAGACACCCCGACAGCCCCCACGCCCACUACUGACGCCCAGAUUAUCCCCACACAAGCCCCCACGAGUCUGCAGGCCCAGUCCCCACCAGAGAGCCCCAUCAGUAAAGGAGGCAAUGCUGGGGUGAAUGGCUCGACCCCAGCGGAAGCCCCCCAGUCAAAUUCAGGCACUGUUGAGGUGAAGCAUGUAACAGUGACGCCUUCUGAUCAGGGCCACGUGGAAAGAGUCGUUAUUAAGAAGAAGAAUAAGUGUAGCUGUUGUGUUAUUCAGUGAGUGUGUCUGUGUGUGUGUGUGUGUGUGUGUCUGUGUAAACCUGUAUUUUUUAAACGCUUUGUUCUGUCACUUAUUCUUUUCCAAGGCCUCCAGGUGAAGAUCCUCGUGUUUUUUUUCCAGUGUUUUGUCGGGUUUGAGAGGAGAUACUGCCUUGUAAACCUGUCUGGAUGUGUUUUUAGCCUUGGAAUAUUGUUUUAGUGAGAGACCAGGGCGUUUUUUUAUGCUGGCCUGUGUGUGUGUGUGUGUGUGCGUGUGUGUUAUUUUUUGUUCCUAUAUCUCAUAUGUGUGUGUGUGUGUGUGUGUGUGUGUGUGUGUGUAGGUUAUAAUAAAGGUGCAUAAGUUUAAUAUUAAUUGUGGACAGGGUGUGUGUGUGUGUGUGUGUGUGUGUGUGUGUGUGUGUGUGUGUGUGCGUGCUUUUUAAUGUAAUAAUUGCAAAAAAAACGCUUUCCAAUUUGUAUUUAAGUUUAUUAUUGUUUUGUGUGUGUGCGUGUGCGUGCGUGCGUGUGUGUGUGUGUGUGUGUGUGUGUGUGUGUGUGUGUGGGUGUGUGUGGGUGUGACGUAUGU
RNAcentral lists this unclassified non-coding RNA (2005 nucleotides) under Portunus trituberculatus (swimming crab). RNAcentral's name for it is "cell surface glycoprotein 1-like, transcript variant X5". The record is from RNAcentral. Lineage: Eukaryota; Metazoa; Arthropoda; Malacostraca; Decapoda; Portunidae.